CACUGCGGUAUCUUGCUCUUGGGCGAACGCCUGACGCAGCAACGCCGCGUGCGGGAAGAAGGCUUUCGGGCUGUAAACCGCUUUCAGCAGGAACGAAAAUGACGGUACCUGCAGAAGAAGGAGCGGCCAACUAUGUGCCAGCAGCCGCGGUAAUCAAAUC
RNAcentral lists this ribosomal RNA (160 nucleotides) under uncultured Actinomycetes bacterium. RNAcentral's name for it is "uncultured actinobacterium partial 16S ribosomal RNA". It matches the Rfam family "Bacterial small subunit ribosomal RNA", at positions 352 to 529 of the family's 1533-position model. The record is from RNAcentral. Lineage: Bacteria; Bacillati; Actinomycetota; Actinomycetes.